UACGGGGGGAGCAAGCGUUGUUCGGAUUUACUGGGCGUAAAGGGCGCGUAGGCGGUCAGCACAAGUCAGUUGUGAAAUCUCCGGGCUUAACUCGGAAAGGUCAACUGAUACUGUGCGACUAGAGUGCGGAAGGGGCAACUGGAAUUCUUGGUGUAGCGGUGAAAUGCGUAGAUAUCAAGAGGAACACCUGCGGCGAAGGCGGGUUGCUGGGCUGACACUGACGCUGAAGCGCGAAAGCCAGGGGAGCGAACGGG
This 254-nucleotide ribosomal RNA is filed under the name uncultured bacterium. RNAcentral describes it as "partial 16S ribosomal RNA". It matches the Rfam family "Bacterial small subunit ribosomal RNA", at positions 524 to 776 of the family's 1533-position model. The record is from RNAcentral.